GUCAGAGCUGGGCUGUGGUGACUUCACUUAAGCACAAUGCAUUGGAUACAAUUUUAUCUGAUGUCGAAGGAGGGCUGAACUUGCUGUCUAUUGUGAAGUAGGCGUCAGUCAGAUUGUUGAUACGAAUUGGAGACUUUGGGGCUAAAGAUAUGCAGGACCCACUUUUUCCCUGGGGCAAUCCUUUGGAGUGCCAGUGCCUGCACACACAAGCAUUCACCACCCACUUCUGGCCUCCUUCCAUGCACCACAUCUACACACAACACUAUAACAUCCUUAACACUCUUUUGAGAAAUGCACAACUCUUUCCAACAGACUGCAAAAGCAGAAGGCAACAGAACCCCUAGGAGCUUCAGUCAUGGGCCAGGCCCCCAUCAUGCUGGGCAUUAUACAAACAGAACACAGAGAUGGUGUCUGCCUCAAAUAGUUUACAAUGAUGUGCUGAGAAUUUGACCCUUUUUUCCCCUUUGGCUGGAUCUUAAAUGGAGAAAAUGCGAGUUUGUUUUUAUAUUAAACAAAAAAAGUACAACUAGAUUAACAACUUACAUGUCAGGGUUUUACCUGAUGCAGUUUGAGACAGCUGAGAUGUUAUCUCAACCAUCCCUCUUGCAAUGAGAUUUAUAAUGGAAAUGCUGACAAGACUCCUAUGUUUGGAGAUGGCACCAUGCACUGCUUUAAAAACUUGUUAUGAAUGUUAAUUGGUUAUCUGAAGAGUUUUCUUUUUCCAGGUGUAGGCAGCCUAAGAGAAAGCCUCGGUAAUACAAUGUAACGAAUGCGUGAAAACAUAGGAGGCUUAUGUGAGUAUUAGAAUGGCUGGCAUUUCUGCAAACAGUGUUGCAGUUUUAUUUUCAAAGUUUAAUCAAUAAUAAGCUCUUUGAUAUUGCUAUGUACUUGGAGAACAGCAUUUCCUUAGGAUGACAGCUAAGCAACUUUCCCACGGUUUUAUAUCUAAGUUUGGGUUUUAAUCAGUCUGCUUGGGGGAUUGUCAUGAACUUCAGUUCUACACAAAAUAAAUAGAAGACAAGCCAGAAAAUGGUCAUGCAGUUAGGGUGGUAAUUGUUCACCCAUCCUGCUGGUGGUAGCCCACCAUAUUCUGGCUUUUGCAAAUUGGAGCAUUGGUGAAAUUCACGGCUGUGUCACUUAAUUCCCAUUUACUGGAAGCCCUAAUAGCUCAUGUCAGAGAGGGCUUUGAGGGCUUAAUUGGUGCAUGGGCCUUAUGCUUGCUCUCUGCGUAGGAGUGACUCUCACUCUGAGUGACAGCAGGCAAGGACAGCAGGCGACCUAUAGGUCGGGCACCAUGCUGCGGUACAGCCCCUCAGCCUAUGGACUUCCUCAAAGCCUGAAAGAGUUACUGCUGCAAGGUACCUUCCUCCUGGGCUGUCACAGCAGGACCACUGGAUCCACCUAAUCACUGAUUCCUUGCCUCUGCCUUCAGAUCUUCCCUAUGCCCCAGGCUUUUUCGGGCCCACCUGGAUCCCCUCUCAGUGGCACCAGGGGGCACAGAGAAUCAUCUGAGCAGCCAGCCCAUGUGGCACUCUCCCU
Molecule: long non-coding RNA, 1539 nt
Organism: Gopherus flavomarginatus (Mexican gopher tortoise)
Lineage: Eukaryota; Metazoa; Chordata; Testudines; Testudinidae
Exons: 3
Source: RefSeq, a predicted model, not a curated record